RNAcentral lists this ribosomal RNA (344 nucleotides) under Pravonitor insularum. RNAcentral's name for it is "partial large subunit ribosomal RNA". It matches the Rfam family "Bacterial large subunit ribosomal RNA", at positions 1810 to 2536 of the family's 2925-position model. Lineage: Eukaryota; Metazoa; Mollusca; Gastropoda; Stylommatophora; Helicarionidae. The record is from RNAcentral.
AAAACAUAGCUUUAUGAUAUAAAGUGAAACCUGCCCACUGAUUUAAUUUAACGGCCGCAGUACCUUGACUGUGCUAAGGUAGCAUAAUAAAUUGACUUUUAAUUGAGGCCUUGAAUGAAAGGAUAGAUAAUUUCUGUCUUAAUAAAUUACUUAUAAAUUAUUUAAAAGGUGAAAAUCCCUUUAAUAAAUAUAAUAGACGAGAAGACCCUAGGAGUUUUAAUUUUGUUGGGGCGACAGUAUAGCAUUACCUAUAUAUAAUUAAAUUAAACGAAUAAUUUUAAUAAUAAAUAAACUACCCUAGGGAUAACAGCAUAAUUUUUAAAGUUUGUGACCUCGAUGUUGGA